Molecule: small nucleolar RNA, 215 nt
Organism: Phyllostomus hastatus (greater spear-nosed bat)
Lineage: Eukaryota; Metazoa; Chordata; Mammalia; Chiroptera; Phyllostomidae
Product: small nucleolar RNA U3
Exons: 1
Source: RefSeq, a predicted model, not a curated record
AAGACUAUAAUUUCAGGGAUCAUUUCUAUAGUUUGUUAGUAGAGAAGUUUCUCUGAACGUGUACAGCACCUGAAACCAUGAAGAAGAGAUGGAGUGUUCUCUUCCUGAGUGCAAAGCUGGCUUUUGGUGUUGCUUUAGUAACUGCCAUUUGCCAUUGGUGAUCGUUCUUUCUCUGUUUUGGGAGAGCAAGAAGGAGAGAACACUGUCUCAGUGGG